AGUAAAAGUCGUAACAAGGUUUCCGUAGGUGAACCUGCGGAAGGAUCAUUAAUUGAACAAACAUGCUUCUCGGCGUGACGUUUCAAACCCCACCUGUGUAUCUUACCUGUUGCUUCCGUGCCGCACAUACUGUCAUGGUGUGCUUCAGGGUCCGGUCUACCGAGUACUCGGGACCCUGGGGAGUCCGCACGGGAGGGAUAACCCCAAACUCUUGCCGUUGAAUGCCUUCUGUCUGAACUGUAGUACACGAAAAGUAAAAACUUUCAACAACGGAUCUCUUGGUUCUCGCAACGAUGAAGAACGCAGCGAAAUGCGAUAAGUAGUGUGAAUUGCAGAAUUCCGUGAAUCAUCGAAUCUUUGAACGCACAUUGCGCCCCCUGGUAUUCCGGGGGGCAUGCCUGUCCGAGCGUCACUAAAAUGAACUCAAGCUGGACUGAAAUCUUGCUUGGUAAUGGAGGAUGAGUUUGCCUUGUUUCGCGGUCUCCCCUCCCAAAGUCAACGGCGGAAAGCCCCUGGCAGUCGGUGUAGUAGUUUAUCGUUCGCCGACCAUCCAGUGGUGUUCCAGCCCACUAACCCCCACAAUUCUCUUGAUUGACCUCGGAUCAGGUAGGGAUACCCGCUGAACUUAAGCAUAUCAAUAAGCGA
This 645-nucleotide ribosomal RNA is filed under the name Geopora clausa. Its description in RNAcentral is "eukaryotic LSU rRNA". The stretch from base 259 to 412 matches the Rfam family "5.8S ribosomal RNA". The record is from RNAcentral. Lineage: Eukaryota; Fungi; Ascomycota; Pezizomycetes; Pezizales; Pyronemataceae.